AAUGCCCCUGGGUCUAACCCCUAGUACCAAAAAAAGGGGGGGGGGAGCUAGUCAAGAAGGAAGAAUGAUCACAGAUAUUCCUUGACUUGGGGCAGGAUCACUUCCUGGUAGGAGCACUGUACAGUGACUCCUGUGUCAAGGUGCAGCAAACAGUCCUGAACUACUGAACAUCACAGCCUAGCGACAGCGUGACUGGAAUGUCAGUGUCCACCGUGGCCUAGGUGACUACCUGGGCGGAGCGGCUGCUGCCACUGCGGAACAUCCAUCGUGGGGGAGUGUGUGGCCACAUCUAGCCCAAGAGAAGAUCCACAUUGAAAGUUCCAAAUAGGGUUUUCCAUCCAGUGUACCAUUGUGAAGUUGGAAGAUCCUAAGAGGGACCAUCUGUUUUUCCAAAGCAGUGGGACAGCUAUUUAAAAGUCAAUAAAACCUAGCUGGAGUGAAUACCUCCCUAACUUAGCAAGAAGCACGGAUGACAUCAUGCUGUGGAAUAAAGGCAGUGAGAGCACAUGUUCCUAUCUGCCUUUGGAGAUCAGCUGUCAGGUGGAUCAUGGAUACACCCAGGUCCUGACCUUUCUGGUUCUUUUGUAGUGUAGUUUACUUUAGUGAUGUGUUAGGAGUCCUUUCUUAAUUUUGCCGGGCUUUUAGCAAGACAUGGAAUAACAUUAAAGUGAAUUAGUAAAACACAAAUAAAUUGUUUUAAAAAUGUAGGACUGUGAACUCCUUAUCCAAAUUAAGAAGCUGUUUGAAAUAAUUAAGCUUGUCUUGAUUAUUCACUACCAUUUUCUAAUUUUAACAUUUUAUACUCAUUUACUUCAUUUUCUUUCAAGGCAAAAGGGACUCUAGAUCCCAAUACCCUGCCCAUAGACCCACGCAACACUUCCUUUCAUUUCUCCUGACUGUUCGGUUAACUUCUCAAAGCCGCCUUCCUCACCAAAUGGGGUGAAGAAGACACAGUCCACCAUUUGGUGACCACGCUAUCCUGUUGACUGGAUGAGAGAGUUGUUCACCUCUACCGGUUUUCUUUGUUCUCAGUAGUUGUAGAAUUUAAACUAGUUUUAAUGAAGUUUCCUUUUAUGAAAUUUCAGGUAAAAGCCCGAAUGUAUAGCAAAAAGCAUGUAAAUAACCUACAAAACCUGACAUAUCAGGUCUCACAGUAUCUUCUUGGUCAGAUAUCUAAUAAAAAGUUAGAUGGUUAUUUUCAAAAUUAUCAUAGUUCUUGACACUUGCACUUUUUAGCUGUAUUUCUGAGCAUAUGUAGACUGCAUAUUGUUAUACUUAAUGCAAAUUAAACUUUUUAUUUUGAGAGGUUUUUUUUUUUAGUUCUUUGCGGUUUUCUCCCUCUUUUACCUGAGUUCAGUCUUUUUGUGUUGGGAGUCUCCCCACCCCUGCCCCAGUUGCCUUGUGCUCAUCCUGUAGCACAGGAGAAUGCCAAACCUCAGCAAGCAUUCAGGCCAGACCCUAGAUUUCAGAGAGCCACAGGGAUAUAGCUCAGUUGAUAGAGUGCUUACCUUGCAUGCACAAGGCCCUGGGUUCGAUCCCCAGCACCAAAAAAAAAAGAAAAAGAAAAAUUCAGAGAGCCCGUGCACGUCAGCACAUGCUUAAGUGAAUUUUAAUGAAGCACAUCUAAACCAAGGUAGCAAAGCUGGGGACUCUGUUCCCAGAUCCCACAUGGGGUCUUGAGGGACUCAUGGUGAAUGCCUUAAAACUAUCUGUGCCCUACUUCUUUAUAGGCCCCUCCCUCUCAGUUUAUACCCACCCUGUCGUAAGUUUCCUAUUGGUGAUUCCAGUGAACUUUCAAGAAAUAAUACUAUGCUGUGUUAAAGGCUCCCAGGAUGGAUCUCCACAGCCCAUCUUGAUAAGCUUUGUCAUUUUAAAGUGCUAGGUGAGGUGUCCUACUGGAUGUAUUUGAAAAUCCUCUCGUGUGCCUUAAGCCCUUUGGUUGGUCCUUCAUAGAGAGUCUGACCUUAUAAAUCAAUAUAAUUGUAGAAUCAAACUAAAAUGGUUCAAUUUUGUAUUUUACAUUAGAAUAUGUUCUAAUACAAAUGUUGAAAUAUGAAUACAUGUUAAAAUAUGUUGAAGUUCAACUUAGCUAUGUUGGGCAAGUUUUCUCUGAGCCCCCAAAUGGGAUAUGUAAUGAGAAUAUUUAAUAUCAGGACCAGUGCAGAGUCUGAGAUGGAGGUUUACCCUAUGUAGUUCAGUUUUUCAACCUGAAACCUAACCUAAGGCUAGUUGUUACUUUCAGUGACCACCCCCACCCAUCUCUGCCAUUUCCCAUCUCAAACCACUGAUCAAGUUUGACCUAGGAUUCCAUAUCGAAUAUUUUAUAAUGAAUGGACCGCUGUGUAUUUGAAAAUCUAUCGUGUUGAGGUUGGCAAACCACUGUAACAACAAUCCUCAAAUCUCAUUGAUUGAAUACAUUUGAAGUUUAUUUCCUGUUUGUGUAAAUUCAGUAUUACCUAAGUUUACAUCCAGAUGUAAGGACCUGGCUCUUUGGUCUUGUGGCUGUGCCAUCCUCCAAGGCUGUGGAGCCCUGUGGCCCACCUUCUGCGCUCAGUCAAUCCAUAGGAGAAGAGAGGGAGGCAGGGAUGUUAAUGCUGGCCAAGGCUGGCCUGAUACACCCAAUGCUUUCUGCUCCUGUCCACAUGGCUUCCUAUGUCACCGGCCCCUGUGAGCAUCAAGGGAGACUCAGAAGCUGGGUGUGGCCAUGUGUGCUGGAGGAAGGGGACCAUUCAGGUGAGCACUGAGAGUUGACAUGAAUUAUCCAUAGCCUUUAAACAUGGUGGUCUUCUAGUAUUAAACAGUAGCGGCAAUUAAUUCUUUCUGUUGAUGUCUCUUAAAUGUUACUUUAGUUUUUAUUCUGUUAGGACAGUCUGUUAAAAUCAUAACACCUAAUUGUAAGAGAGACUUUUGGAGAGUGUAGUUUUCAGGAAGUUGGUUCUUUCCAUGCUUCUGAGAAGCUUAACAUGUUUCCAGUGUGGCAUAAUUUGUAGGAAGACCAAAAUUCACAACCCCUAGAAUUCCUUUCAUUCAAAGAACUCUCAGACAAUCAAAUCCACCCAGAAUCUGCUUGAUUUUGAGAUUUAAUUACAAAUAUUGAUAAUAUAAACAUUCUAUUGUUAUGGAUUCUUUAACCCCUGGCCCUCCCCAGCCCUUAGCAAUGGCAAUGGUGAAUCAUGGUGGCUUCUGUAGCAGUUGUGCAUCUGGUAGCCUUCACCCCAGCUGCCUGCCCUAUCCCUAUCUGAAGCAGGGAUGGUCCUCAGUGAGAAGUUAAACCCUCCUCGACUGAGCACUCCUGUCCUAGAAAUACAGCCCCACCCCGCAGUGGGCAAUCCGGCACGGUCUGCACUUUUGAUUGCAAACAAACUCUUCUGCCAUCUAACUCUAUGAACUACUUCCCAGGGUUGGUUUUUUUUGUUUGUUUUGUAUCAGAAUUUCUUUUAAUUCUAAGAUGCAUUGGGGUUUUCUUUUUACAUUUUGACCUGUCUGAAAGUAGAAUGUGUUUUACAAUCAAUAGAAGCAAUGGCAGCAUAUUUUUCUUAAUGGUCCCUAAAUUAAUAAGACACCCUAUAUGUGACAGUGUCUUUCUUGGAUUUAAUAAAUUAUGAUAUUAAUGUAUGGCAUGGUCACAUUCAGUUGUAUCUUUAGCAAUAUAAUGGGUUAAUGGUGACUCAUGAUCAGCUGAUCGUUCAAAUUCAACUUUUUAUGCUAAGUAUUUUAUCAGUUAUUUGUCAUUCUGCAUUCAUUUAGAUAUUUGAAGUAUCAUUAUACGUUUAUUAUAAUAAAAUACCUGUGUGCCUGACAAUAUUCUUAGACAUUUAUACAUACGUGCUAAUUUAGUUUUCAUGACAAUCUUAUAACAAUAGUCAUGACUAUGCUCAAUUCAUUUUUGAGAAACUGAGACACAAAGAGGGUUAAAUGGUUUUGCAAAGUCACACAGCUCCUAAGUGGUAGAGCCAGGAUUCAGGCCCAAGCAGUGUAGCUACAUAAUGCCCACUCUUGAGAAAAUAUUUGUUCUUAAUGUUCUUUACCAGUUAUGGAAAAGUCAAUUCUUACAUAUUCCCACGAUAUAUUUGAAUUUUAGUUUUAUUUGUUAUAACAUCACCAGCAGCAUUAUCUACUUGUUUUAAAAUAGGGUUUGGCAAUAAUAAGGAUUGGAGAGGGUGUGGGGGAAAGGAGCACUCUUAUACUGUUCAUGAAAUUGUCAAUUAGACAGGCGCUAGGGAAUCAGUGUGGAGGUUCCUCAAAAGACUAAGCGUGGAACCACCAGCUGUGUCACUCCUUGGUGCUUAUCCUGAAGAAUUAAAGUCAUCUUCCUACAGUGAUACAUGCAUAACCAUGUUUAUAGCAGCACGAUUCCCAAUAGUCAAACUAUGGAACCAGCCUAGGUGACCAUCAACACAUAAAUGGAUAAAUAAAAUGUGGUAUAUUUGUACAAUGGAGUUUUAAUCAGCCAUAAAGAAAAAUUAAGUCCUUUGCAGUAAAGUGAUAAAACUUGAGAACAUUGUGUUAGGCAAAGUAAGUCAAACUCAGAAGGUCAAGGAUCCCGUUUUCUCUCAUAUGUGAAAGCUAGAGAGGAAAAGAAAGCAGGGGGUGAGGGUGGGAGGAUAUCAUGAAAAUCAAAGGGAGAUCAGGAAAGGAAUUGGACUGGGGCGAAAGGAGGGGAGGGAAGGGGAAAUAUUGGAGAAUGAUAUUGGCCAAACUAUAUUGCUGUAUUGUGUGCAUGUAUGAAGAUGUAACAACAAGUCUCACUAUUAUGUACAACUAUAAUGCACCAAUAAAAAUAUGGAAAAAAUAGAAAUAGGCUUUGGGUUUUCUCAAAGGGUUGUUUUAGAAAAGUCUCUUAAAAAUUUACAGCCAUGGGCUGGGGCUGAGGCUCAGCGAUGGAGCGAUGGAGCUCAAGCCCUGGGCUUGAGCCUCAGCACCACAUAAGAAGGAGUAAAUAAAAUAAAGGUGCUGUGUCCAACUACAACUAAAACAUAAAUAUUUUUAAAAAAUUAUAGCCAUGUAAAUUACAUUUAUAGAGAAAAGGAAUCUUGAUAUUUUUAACACCAAACAUCUUUGUCCCUACCAAUUAUUUUGGAACAUUUAAUUUUUGAUUAAAAAAGUAAUGACUAUAUUUUUAUGUCCCUCAUCCCACUAUUAUUCAUGGAUUAAACUACUAUUUAAAGUUUGUGCAUAAUGCUGAAUAUAUUUAUUGUCUACGCAGUCUUACUGUUGUCUGGCUCUCCUACACCUGCCCUUUAUCAUGCCCAUUUGUCAGUAUGGUGUGUGAGAUUAUAAUCCUAAAUGUCACUGUAUGUAUUCUCUUUACGCUUUACUAUUGAACAAUAUUAGUGCUCAAUAAAUGUUAAUAGAUAAUAUCUACUUAAAAAUCA
Molecule: long non-coding RNA, 5375 nt
Filed under: Marmota monax (woodchuck)
Lineage: Eukaryota; Metazoa; Chordata; Mammalia; Rodentia; Sciuridae
Source: RNAcentral